UACGUAGGGUGCGAGCGUUGUCCGGAAUUAUUGGGCGUAAAGAGCUCGUAGGCGGUCUGUCGCGUCUGCUGUGAAAACCCGAGGCUCAACCUCGGGCCUGCAGUGGGUACGGGCAGACUAGAGUGCGGUAGGGGAGAAUGGAAUUCCUGGUGUAGCGGUGGAAUGCGCAGAGUAUCAGGAGGAACACCGAUGGCGAAGGCAGUUCUC
RNAcentral lists this ribosomal RNA (207 nucleotides) under uncultured bacterium. RNAcentral's name for it is "partial 16S ribosomal RNA". It matches the Rfam family "Bacterial small subunit ribosomal RNA", at positions 524 to 729 of the family's 1533-position model. The record is from RNAcentral.